Molecule: ribosomal RNA, 490 nt
Filed under: uncultured bacterium
Lineage: Bacteria
Description: partial 16S ribosomal RNA
Rfam family: Bacterial small subunit ribosomal RNA
Source: RNAcentral
AUGAACGCUGGCUACAGGCUUAACACAUGCAAGUCGAGGGGAAACGACGGGGAAGCUUGCUUCCCCGGGCGUCGACCGGCGCACGGGUGAGUAACGCGUAUCCAACCUGCCUCUGACUGAGGGAUAACCCGUCGAAAGUCGGCCUAAUACCUCAUGGUAUCGUCUGCGGGCAUCCAACGACGAUUAAAGAUUUCAUCGGUCAGGGAUGGGGAUGCGUCUGAUUAGCUUGUUGGCGGGGUAACGGCCCACCAAGGCUACGAUCAGUAGGGGUUCUGAGAGGAAGGUCCCCCACAUUGGAACGGAGACACGGUCCAAACUCCUACGGGAGGCAGCAGUGAGGAAUAUUGGUCAAUGGGCGAGAGCCUGAACCAGCCAAGUAGCGUGCAGGAAGACGGCCCUAUGGGUUGUAAACUGCUUUUAUGCGGGGAUAAAGUGAGGGACGUGUCCCUCAUUGCAGGUACCGCAUGAAUAAGGACCGGCUAAGUCCGUG